This 253-nucleotide ribosomal RNA is filed under the name uncultured bacterium. RNAcentral describes it as "partial 16S ribosomal RNA". It matches the Rfam family "Bacterial small subunit ribosomal RNA", at positions 524 to 776 of the family's 1533-position model. The record is from RNAcentral.
UACGAAGGGGGCUAGCGUUGUUCGGAUUUACUGGGCGUAAAGCGCACGUAGGCGGAUCGUUAAGUCGGGGGUGAAAUCCUGGAGCUCAACUCCAGAACUGCCUUCGAUACUGGCGAUCUCGAGUCCGGAAGAGGUGAGUGGAACUCCUAGUGUAGAGGUGGAAUUCGUAGAUAUUAGGAAGAACACCAGUGGCGAAGGCGGCGCACUGGUCCGGUACUGACGCUGAGGUGCGAAAGCGUGGGGAGCAAACAGG